AUCUUAUCUUAUUUUCACUUUUGCAAAAUUUACCAACUGUAAAUUUCUUGUGUCUAAGCAGGGAGAUGUGUUUCUCCAGCUGGCGUCGCAGUUUGACUUCAGCUCCGUACUUUCCUGUUGUGCCAUUGUCUGCCAGGAUGAAGUGGGAGUGGAGACUGUUGAGGACCGUCAGCUUGCUCAUGGGGUUGGACAUGGUUUGGUACGGACGCACCACCUUGCCAAAGAGGGAAGUCAGAGAGAGUGAGAGAGAAGAAUAAACACACAAAGUGAAAAGUGUUAACCUGG
Xiphophorus couchianus (Monterrey platyfish) is the source of this 285-nucleotide long non-coding RNA. RefSeq lists it as uncharacterized. The transcript is spliced from 2 exons. NCBI's taxonomy places the organism in Eukaryota, Metazoa, Chordata, Actinopteri, Cyprinodontiformes, Poeciliidae. The record is from RefSeq and is a predicted model, not a curated record.